AUUGAACGCUGGCGGCAUGCCUUACACAUGCAAGUCGAACGGCAGCACGGGAGCAAUCCUGGUGGCGAGUGGCGAACGGGUGAGUAAUACAUCGGAACGUGUCCAGUUGUGGGGGAUAGCCCGGCGAAAGCCGGAUUAAUACCGCAUACGACCCACGGGUGGAAAGCGGGGGAGUCGCAAGACCUCGCGCUAUUGGGGCGGCCGAUGUCAGAUUAG
This 216-nucleotide ribosomal RNA is filed under the name uncultured bacterium. Its description in RNAcentral is "partial 16S ribosomal RNA". It matches the Rfam family "Bacterial small subunit ribosomal RNA", at positions 30 to 244 of the family's 1533-position model. The record is from RNAcentral.